AAAGCGUGCGCAGGCGGUUAUGUAAGACAGAUGUGAAAUCCCCGGGCUCAACCUGGGAACUGCAUUUGUGACUGCAUGGCUAGAGUACGGUAGAGGGGGAUGGAAUUCCGCGUGUAGCAGUGAAAUGCGUAGAUAUGCGGAGGAACACCGAUGGCGAAGGCAAUCCCCUGGACCUGUACUGACGCUCAUGCACGAAAGCGUGGGGAGCAAACAGGAUUAGAUACCCCAGU
This 230-nucleotide ribosomal RNA is filed under the name uncultured bacterium. RNAcentral describes it as "partial 16S ribosomal RNA". It matches the Rfam family "Bacterial small subunit ribosomal RNA", at positions 562 to 791 of the family's 1533-position model. The record is from RNAcentral.